RNAcentral lists this ribosomal RNA (200 nucleotides) under uncultured bacterium. Its description in RNAcentral is "partial 16S ribosomal RNA". It matches the Rfam family "Bacterial small subunit ribosomal RNA", at positions 8 to 198 of the family's 1533-position model. The record is from RNAcentral.
AGAGUUUGAUCCUGGCUCAGAGCGAACGCUGGCGGCGUGCUUAACACAUGCAAGUCGAAUGCGCAGUUUUCUGUAGCAAUACAGGGAGCGGGCGCAUGGCGAACGGGUGCGUAACACGUGGGCAACCUUCCCUUCGGUGGGGGAUACCCCCGCGAAAGCGGGACUAAUACCGCAUAACACUCCUUUGGUUAGCUCCGAGG